CCUACGGGAGGUAGCAGUGAGGAAUAUUGGUCAAUGGCCGUAAGGCUGAACCAGCCAAGUCGCGUGAAGGAAGACGGAUCUAUGGUUUGUAAACUUCUUUUAUAGGGGAAUAAAGGUAUCCACGUGUGGAUAUUUGCAUGUACCCUAUGAAUAGGCAUCGGCUAACUCCGUGCCAGCAGCCGCGGUAAUACGGAGGAUGCGAGCGUUAUCCGGAUUUAUUGGGUUUAAAGGGUGCGUAGGUUGUUUUUUAAGUCAGCGGUGAAAGUUUGUGGCUCAACCAUAAAAUUGCCGUUGAAACUGGAAGACUUGAGUGUGUUUGAGGUAGGCGGAAUUCGUGGUGUAGCGGUGAAAUGCUUAGAUAUCACGAAGAACCCCGAUUGCGAAGGCAGCUUACUAAACUGUGACUGACAUUGAUGCUCGAAAGUGUGGGUAUCAAACAGGAUUAGAUACCCCAGUAGUC
This 460-nucleotide ribosomal RNA is filed under the name uncultured bacterium. RNAcentral's name for it is "partial 16S ribosomal RNA". It matches the Rfam family "Bacterial small subunit ribosomal RNA", at positions 338 to 795 of the family's 1533-position model. The record is from RNAcentral.